CCUACGGGAGGCAGCAGUGGGGAAUAUUGCGCAAUGGCCGAAAGGCUGACGCAGCGACGCCGCGUGGGGGAUGAAGCAUUUCGGUGUGUAAACCCCUGUUGCUCGGGACGAACAACUGGAUUUGUCCAGUCUGACGGUACCGGGUGAGGAAGCACCGACUAACUCCGUGCCAGCAGCCGCGGUAAUACGGAGGGUGCGAGCGUUGUCCGGAAUCACUGGGCGUAAAGGGCGCGUAGGCGGUCUGCUAAGCGUGUGGUGAAAGCUCGGGGCUCAACCCCGAGUCUGCCAUGCGAACUGGUGGACUAGAGCACUGUAGAGGCAGGUGGAAUUCCGGGUGUAGCGGUGGAAUGCGUAGAGAUCCGGAAGAACACCGGUGGCGAAGGCGGCCUGCUGGGCAGUAGCUGACGCUGAGGCGCGACAGCGUGGGGAGCAAACAGGAUUAGAUACCCUGGUAGUCCACGCCGUAAACGAUGGGGACUAGGUGCUUGGGGGAGCGACCCCUCGAGUGCCGGCGCUACGCAUAAGUACCCCGCCCUCGGGAGGUACGGCCGGCCGAACGGACGAGAACGUAAAAGUAAAGUUAAGUAGGACGUCGAGACGAGCGACGACGACGACGACGGGAGGAGGAGG
This 630-nucleotide ribosomal RNA is filed under the name uncultured bacterium. RNAcentral describes it as "bacterial SSU rRNA". The stretch from base 1 to 534 matches the Rfam family "Bacterial small subunit ribosomal RNA", at positions 338 to 873 of the family's 1533-position model. The record is from RNAcentral.